ACGGGAGGCAGCAGUGGGGAAUAUUGCACAAUGGGCGCAAGCCUGAUGCAGCCAUGCCGCGUGUAUGAAAAAGGCCUUCGGGUUGUAAAGUACUUUCAGUCGUGAGGAAGGUGUUAAGGUUAAUAACCUUAGCAAUUGACGUUAGCGACAGAAGAAGCACCGGCUAACUCCGUGCCAGCAGCCGCGGUAAUACGGAGGGUGCGAGCGUUAAUCGGAAUUACUGGGCGUAAAGGGCACGCAGGCGGUUAAUUAAGUUGGAUGUGAAAUCCCCGGGCUUAACCUGGGAAUGGCAUUCAAGACUGGUUAGCUAGAGUCUUGUAGAGGGGGUAGAAUUCCAUGUGUAGCGGUGAAAUGCGUAGAGAUGUGGAGGAAUACCGGUGGCGAAGGCGGCCCCUGGACAAAGACUGACGCUCAUGUGCGAAAGCGUGGGGAGCGAAACAGGGAUUAGAUACC
Molecule: ribosomal RNA, 453 nt
Filed under: uncultured bacterium
Lineage: Bacteria
Description: bacterial SSU rRNA
Rfam family: Bacterial small subunit ribosomal RNA
Source: RNAcentral